CUCGUAGGCGGUUCAGUAGGUCGGGUGUGAAAACUCUGGGCUCAACCCAGAGACGCCACCCGACACUGCUGUGACUUGAGUACGGUAGGGGAGUGGGGAAUUCCUGGUGUAGCGGUGAAAUGCGCAGAUAUCAGGAGGAACACCAGUGGCGAAGGCGCCACUCUGGGCCGUAACUGACGCUGAGGAGCGAAAGCGUGGGUAGCAAACA
Molecule: ribosomal RNA, 208 nt
Filed under: uncultured bacterium
Lineage: Bacteria
Description: partial 16S ribosomal RNA
Rfam family: Bacterial small subunit ribosomal RNA
Source: RNAcentral